RNAcentral lists this ribosomal RNA (2904 nucleotides) under Escherichia coli. RNAcentral's name for it is "23S ribosomal RNA". It matches the Rfam family "Bacterial large subunit ribosomal RNA". The record is from RNAcentral. Lineage: Bacteria; Pseudomonadati; Pseudomonadota; Gammaproteobacteria; Enterobacterales; Enterobacteriaceae.
GGUUAAGCGACUAAGCGUACACGGUGGAUGCCCUGGCAGUCAGAGGCGAUGAAGGACGUGCUAAUCUGCGAUAAGCGUCGGUAAGGUGAUAUGAACCGUUAUAACCGGCGAUUUCCGAAUGGGGAAACCCAGUGUGUUUCGACACACUAUCAUUAACUGAAUCCAUAGGUUAAUGAGGCGAACCGGGGGAACUGAAACAUCUAAGUACCCCGAGGAAAAGAAAUCAACCGAGAUUCCCCCAGUAGCGGCGAGCGAACGGGGAGCAGCCCAGAGCCUGAAUCAGUGUGUGUGUUAGUGGAAGCGUCUGGAAAGGCGCGCGAUACAGGGUGACAGCCCCGUACACAAAAAUGCACAUGCUGUGAGCUCGAUGAGUAGGGCGGGACACGUGGUAUCCUGUCUGAAUAUGGGGGGACCAUCCUCCAAGGCUAAAUACUCCUGACUGACCGAUAGUGAACCAGUACCGUGAGGGAAAGGCGAAAAGAACCCCGGCGAGGGGAGUGAAAAAGAACCUGAAACCGUGUACGUACAAGCAGUGGGAGCACGCUUAGGCGUGUGACUGCGUACCUUUUGUAUAAUGGGUCAGCGACUUAUAUUCUGUAGCAAGGUUAACCGAAUAGGGGAGCCGAAGGGAAACCGAGUCUUAACUGGGCGUUAAGUUGCAGGGUAUAGACCCGAAACCCGGUGAUCUAGCCAUGGGCAGGUUGAAGGUUGGGUAACACUAACUGGAGGACCGAACCGACUAAUGUUGAAAAAUUAGCGGAUGACUUGUGGCUGGGGGUGAAAGGCCAAUCAAACCGGGAGAUAGCUGGUUCUCCCCGAAAGCUAUUUAGGUAGCGCCUCGUGAAUUCAUCUCCGGGGGUAGAGCACUGUUUCGGCAAGGGGGUCAUCCCGACUUACCAACCCGAUGCAAACUGCGAAUACCGGAGAAUGUUAUCACGGGAGACACACGGCGGGUGCUAACGUCCGUCGUGAAGAGGGAAACAACCCAGACCGCCAGCUAAGGUCCCAAAGUCAUGGUUAAGUGGGAAACGAUGUGGGAAGGCCCAGACAGCCAGGAUGUUGGCUUAGAAGCAGCCAUCAUUUAAAGAAAGCGUAAUAGCUCACUGGUCGAGUCGGCCUGCGCGGAAGAUGUAACGGGGCUAAACCAUGCACCGAAGCUGCGGCAGCGACGCUUAUGCGUUGUUGGGUAGGGGAGCGUUCUGUAAGCCUGCGAAGGUGUGCUGUGAGGCAUGCUGGAGGUAUCAGAAGUGCGAAUGCUGACAUAAGUAACGAUAAAGCGGGUGAAAAGCCCGCUCGCCGGAAGACCAAGGGUUCCUGUCCAACGUUAAUCGGGGCAGGGUGAGUCGACCCCUAAGGCGAGGCCGAAAGGCGUAGUCGAUGGGAAACAGGUUAAUAUUCCUGUACUUGGUGUUACUGCGAAGGGGGGACGGAGAAGGCUAUGUUGGCCGGGCGACGGUUGUCCCGGUUUAAGCGUGUAGGCUGGUUUUCCAGGCAAAUCCGGAAAAUCAAGGCUGAGGCGUGAUGACGAGGCACUACGGUGCUGAAGCAACAAAUGCCCUGCUUCCAGGAAAAGCCUCUAAGCAUCAGGUAAUAUCAAAUCGUACCCCAAACCGACACAGGUGGUCAGGUAGAGAAUACCAAGGCGCUUGAGAGAACUCGGGUGAAGGAACUAGGCAAAAUGGUGCCGUAACUUCGGGAGAAGGCACGCUGAUAUGUAGGUGAAGUCCCUCGCGGAUGGAGCUGAAAUCAGUCGAAGAUACCAGCUGGCUGCAACUGUUUAUUAAAAACACAGCACUGUGCAAACACGAAAGUGGACGUAUACGGUGUGACGCCUGCCCGGUGCCGGAAGGUUAAUUGAUGGGGUCAGCGCAAGCGAAGCUCUUGAUCGAAGCCCCGGUAAACGGCGGCCGUAACUAUAACGGUCCUAAGGUAGCGAAAUUCCUUGUCGGGUAAGUUCCGACCUGCACGAAUGGCGUAAUGAUGGCCAGGCUGUCUCCACCCGAGACUCAGUGAAAUUGAACUCGCUGUGAAGAUGCAGUGUACCCGCGGCAAGACGGAAAGACCCCGUGAACCUUUACUAUAGCUUGACACUGAACAUUGAGCCUUGAUGUGUAGGAUAGGUGGGAGGCUUUGAAGUGUGGACGCCAGUCUGCAUGGAGCCGACCUUGAAAUACCACCCUUUAAUGUUUGAUGUUCUAACGUUGACCCGUGAUCCGGGUUGCGGACAGUGUCUGGUGGGUAGUUUGACUGGGGCGGUCUCCUCCUAAAGAGUAACGGAGGAGCACGAAGGUUGGCUAAUCCUGGUCGGACAUCAGGAGGUUAGUGCAAUGGCAUAAGCCAGCUUGACUGCGAGCGUGACGGCGCGAGCAGGUGCGAAAGCAGGUCAUAGUGAUCCGGUGGUUCUGAAUGGAAGGGCCAUCGCUCAACGGAUAAAAGGUACUCCGGGGAUAACAGGCUGAUACCGCCCAAGAGUUCAUAUCGACGGCGGUGUUUGGCACCUCGAUGUCGGCUCAUCACAUCCUGGGGCUGAAGUAGGUCCCAAGGGUAUGGCUGUUCGCCAUUUAAAGUGGUACGCGAGCUGGGUUUAGAACGUCGUGAGACAGUUCGGUCCCUAUCUGCCGUGGGCGCUGGAGAACUGAGGGGGGCUGCUCCUAGUACGAGAGGACCGGAGUGGACGCAUCACUGGUGUUCGGGUUGUCAUGCCAAUGGCACUGCCCGGUAGCUAAAUGCGGAAGAGAUAAGUGCUGAAAGCAUCUAAGCACGAAACUUGCCCCGAGAUGAGUUCUCCCUGACCCUUUAAGGGUCCUGAAGGAACGUUGAAGACGACGACGUUGAUAGGCCGGGUGUGUAAGCGCAGCGAUGCGUUGAGCUAACCGGUACUAAUGAACCGUGAGGCUUAACCUU